Molecule: RNA transcript, 1228 nt
Organism: Ananas comosus (pineapple)
Lineage: Eukaryota; Viridiplantae; Streptophyta; Magnoliopsida; Poales; Bromeliaceae
Gene name: putative rRNA methylase YtqB
Exons: 7
Source: RefSeq, a predicted model, not a curated record
UCGCCGAGAAGACGUUGAGCUUGUCGUUCUCCCUCCGACCCUCCUCUCUCCGCCUCUUCCUCCUCAUGGAAACCCUAACCCUAACCCUAAUCCCACGAAUCCCUUCUCUCUCUCAUCUCCUCCUUUCUCGUCCUCUUCGUCGACGAUUCCCUUCCCGGCUUUGUCUCUCUUCGAGCUCGGCCAUGAGAGCUCAAUCCACGGUAGCUGGAUUCGGCGAUCCCUCUUUCGCAUCCGAUUACAAGGCUCAACCGAUCAAGGGGGAAGGUAUUGAGGAAGCAUUGAUUGGGUUUAUCACAGGCAAGAGAAAGGCGACAGAGGUAGCUCACUCUGUGUGGAGAAGUAUCGUGCAAAAAGGUGAUACGGUGGUUGAUGCCACAUGUGGCAAUGGGUAUGAUACAUUGGCAUUGCUCAAAAUGGUUGCCGAUGAAUCAGGGCAAGGUUGUGUUUAUGGGAUGGACAUUCAGGAUUCUGCUAUAGAGAGCACUUCAUCCAUGCUAGAAAACUCUGUUAAUUUCCAUGAGAGGAAGUUAGUUAAGUUAUUUUCAAUUUGUCAUAGCAAGAUGGAGGAUAUUGUACCAAAAGAUGUCCCCAUAAGGCUUGUGGCUUUCAACCUGGGUUAUCUUCCUGGAGGAGACAAAACUAUAAUCACUGAAUCACGAACCACGGAAAUGGCCUUGCAUGCUGCGUCUAAAAUACUAAGGUCUCAUGGACUUAUCAGCAUAAUGGUCUAUGUGGGGCAUCCCGGUGGAAGGGAAGAAUUUGAAACAGUUCAAUCAUUUGCAUCAAUCUUGCCUGCUGAAACCUGGGUAACCUGCAAGUUUGAAAUGAUUAACCGGCCUGCAGCUCCUGUCCUUGUUCUCUUGUACAAGAAAUAAUCGACAUGAAUAAGAUCGGCUUCGGGUUAAAUCAAACUUUCUGGAACUUAAGCAGGGUCAGGCACUGAAGGGAGAUUGAUUAACAUUACUGUGUGUUGAUACGGAGACUAUCUAUAAUAGUUUUACCAGUGAAUAGAUAUCGAGGAUCGGCUGCUCCGGCGCAUCAUAUCACCGGGCGGUGACCAUAGACAAAAUAAAACAACAGCCAGCCCUCCCCGGCCCGCAGUAAGUAAAUGUAACAAAUAAAUAAGUGAACCCUCGCUUGAUCUUUCUCCUCCCUCUCCCCCAGAAGAAGCUAGAGUCUUAAUUAAUUAAUUUGCCUUUUUAAGAAGAAGAAGAAGAACAAGAAGAAG